Eriocheir sinensis (Chinese mitten crab) is the source of this 1139-nucleotide long non-coding RNA. RefSeq lists it as uncharacterized. The transcript is spliced from 3 exons. Lineage: Eukaryota; Metazoa; Arthropoda; Malacostraca; Decapoda; Varunidae. The record is from RefSeq and is a predicted model, not a curated record.
CUAAAACCCAGACUUCCAAACCUUACCUAAGCUAUCUUAAUCCUUAUGAUGCUACUGUACUCAUGGAAUACCCUGUAUUUUUUAUGAAUACAUACAAACAAUAGUACAGUUUACAGUAAUAUUUCCAGUAGUAAUUGGGUUACAUAAAGAGUUAUUAGUUAUCCACAGUAUCCAGUGUAGUAGGGUUUAUACAACUGAUCACUUGAAUCAAUAAAAUUAAUUCUAAGUAUAUAUUUUCUAUGCCUUCAUUCACAUUCCAUAUUGCUUUUCUACCUAUAUUUACAUGUAGUUUUUCAUUGUCUUACAGAGAACAAGUUACAUAAAUUCCAGAAAAAAAGAAAUGUCUGGGUACAAGUUAUCACUACCCCUGGUGAAGUCCAUGAAAUUCUAAAGAUGUACCAUGUAGUAGGUGGAUGUCACCGGGGGGUAGUGAAAACAAAAGCUGCCAUUGGUGACUUGUACUUCUGGAAAGACAUGACUAAAGACAUUGAGAAUUAUAUAUCAUCAUGUCCAACUUGCCAGACUUUUGAGCCAAUAAAAACCCAAGCCCCUACCCUGAAGCAAAUCAAGGUAUCUCUCCCAAUGGAAGUUGUGGGAAUGGACCUUAUUGAAAGAAAUAGAUGUAGUUGGAGACCUCUCCCUCUCCUUCAUGGUCCACGGGUUCCACCUUAUUGAAAAUGUGCAGCACAGGGGUGCUGUUAUGUCUGCCCUCAGGUUCUCACCACAGGUAUUUUCCAUUUGAUAUUAGAAUUUACCAUUUCAGUUUGCUCUUCAGACACUCUCUUUUUCAAUCCUCUUCACAUCAUCCAUGGCAAGGCACCUCCCCCAAGUAACUCGCCUUUCAGCAUUACAUUAAUCUCAACCCCCUGCACACACUUCAUCGCUACACUUGUAAAUUUACUCAUAGUUUCCUCCUCAUCACAAGUACCAUGUCCAGAAGAGCUAAACUUUCACAUUAUUUGUAUGUAUAAUAUUUAUUUAUAAAGGAGAAUACCAAAGUGUAGUUUGUAUCUUAUUUAUUUAUUUAUACGUACUUUACUGUUAUAUAUUUAACAUUUAUUUGUGCAUACAUUUUGUAUUAAAAGGAUUUUGUAUGUAUUUUGUAAAUUAUUUUUUACUGUUUUACAUUGACAGCAGAU